This 541-nucleotide ribosomal RNA is filed under the name uncultured bacterium. Its description in RNAcentral is "bacterial SSU rRNA". It matches the Rfam family "Bacterial small subunit ribosomal RNA", at positions 777 to 1315 of the family's 1533-position model. The record is from RNAcentral.
AAUAGAUACCCCGGUAGUCCACCCCGUAAACGUUGGGAACUAGUUGUGGGGUCCUUUCCACGGAUUCCGUGACGCAGCUAACGCAUUAAGUUCCCCGCCUGGGGGAGUACGGCCGCAAGGCUAAAACUCAAAGGAAUUGACGGGGACCCGCACAAGCGGCGGAGCAUGCGGAUUAAUUCGAUGCAACGCGAAGAACCUUACCAAGGCUUGACAUACACGAGAACGGGCCAGAAAUGGUCAACUCUUUGGACACUCGUGAACAGGUGGUGCAUGGUUGUCGUCAGCUCGUGUCGUGAGAUGUUGGGUUAAGUCCCGCAACGAGCGCAACCCUCGUUCUAUGUUGCCAGCACGUAAUGGUGGGAACUCAUGGGAUACUGCCGGGGUCAACUCGGAGGAAGGUGGGGAUGACGUCAAAUCAUCAUGCCCCUUAUGUCUUGGGCUUCACGCAUGCUACAAUGGCCGGUACAAUGGGCUGCGAUACCGUAAGGUGGAGCGAAUCCCAAAAAGCCGGUCCCAGUUCGGAUUGAGGUCUGCAACUCGA